This 497-nucleotide ribosomal RNA is filed under the name uncultured bacterium. RNAcentral describes it as "partial 16S ribosomal RNA". It matches the Rfam family "Bacterial small subunit ribosomal RNA", at positions 28 to 507 of the family's 1533-position model. The record is from RNAcentral.
GAUGAACGCUGGCGGCUUUCCUCCUCCCUUCACUUCGCGCGCACCGAUGCGGAGCUUUCUCCUCUGACGUUAGCGGCGGACGGGUGAGUAACACGUGGAUCCCCUCCCUAUAAGACUGGGAUAACUUCUUGAAACCGGAGCUAAUACCGUAUCAUAUAUUGAACCGCAUGGUUCAAUAGUGAAAGCCGGUUUUGCUUUCACUUAUAGAUGGAUCCGCGCCGCAUUAGCUAGUUGGUAAGGUAACGGCUUCCCAAGGCAACGAUGCGUAGCCGACCUGAGAGGGUGAUAGGCCACACUGGAACUGAGACACGGUCCAGACUCAGACGGGAGGCAGCAGUAGGGAAUCGUCCGCAAUGGGCGAAGGCUUGACGGAGCAACGCCGCGUGAGUGAUGAAGGUCUUCGGAUCGUAAAAAGCGGGGAUGAGGGAAGAACAAAUGUGGAAGGAACUAGGCACGUCUUGACGGGACCGAAUCAGAAAGCCAAGGAGAAAUACGGG